Molecule: long non-coding RNA, 307 nt
Filed under: Physcomitrium patens
Lineage: Eukaryota; Viridiplantae; Streptophyta; Bryopsida; Funariales; Funariaceae
Description: long non-coding RNA (PPAT_LNC010932)
Source: RNAcentral
AUAGAAUCAUUGUAGAUAUACAAUUUUGUACUUGGAAAUCUGAUUUUGAUCGAAGUUGACAACCGGUCCUCUUUAGGUAUCAAUUUUUAGUAAUUUGAGAUAAUUUUUAUUUUAACCUAUUUUUAACUUUCUUCUAAAUAUAUUCAUAUUAAUUACUUUAUCUUAUUUAUUUUUAUUUGGCUUAUUUAUGCCUCUACAAAGUAAAUAGAAGUUCCUUCUAGAAAAGAUAACAUUAAGACUAAAAUUUUUACCAACUUUUUAUUAUUUAUUUUUAUUUUUUUACUACAUCCUUUUACUAGGUUCUUCU